This 631-nucleotide long non-coding RNA is filed under the name Mus pahari (shrew mouse). Its description in RNAcentral is "predicted gene 43240 (MGP_PahariEiJ_G0003547.1)". Lineage: Eukaryota; Metazoa; Chordata; Mammalia; Rodentia; Muridae. The record is from RNAcentral.
UAGGUGCGAUGAAGAAAAAGUGGAUGAAGGAUGAAUAAAAGUGGCAAGUACCUAAUAAUUUAAGGCAGUGACAUGUGAAGAAGCAGAGAAAGGAAAGAACUGAACUUGAAGGUCAAAGAAAUGAGAAUAAUUAACGUUAAGACAGUUAAGUGUUGAAAAGCUUUCCACUUGGUGAACAUGUGCCCUAACUGUUCCUAAGUUGUACCUGUCAUGUCUGACAGAGUCUCCAGUUCUCGGGCAGCAGAGGGCCCCAGAGCAAUGGUGUGGAUGACGGCACCACUGCGCUUGACGGCCUCAAAGCAUGAACUUAUUCCAUUAUCUUCCCCAUCUGUCAGCAAUACGAUCUCAGAACCGGAAGUGCUCUGGUCACUGGAGAUCAGAAUGCUAUUAAAUGAAUGAACUCUGAAUUCAGGACCCUAUUCAAAUCCAGGAAACAGGGCUGGAGAGGAGGUGGAAAGAGCCUUAGAGCUGGCGCUGUGCGUCGCCCUCUACUGGACAUCAUGUGGUCACUGCACUAGGAACUCAGCUCUGGAUACCUGCACAAGAUCAAGUCAGGCAACAUUUAUCCAGCACCAAGCAGACCACUCGCCUUCUGGACUUGAGCAAUGAAAAUGUAGGUGGAGGAGGGGCU